This 467-nucleotide ribosomal RNA is filed under the name uncultured bacterium. RNAcentral describes it as "partial 16S ribosomal RNA". It matches the Rfam family "Bacterial small subunit ribosomal RNA", at positions 29 to 507 of the family's 1533-position model. The record is from RNAcentral.
ACGAACGCUGGCGGCGUGCUUAACACAUGCAAGUCGAACGGAAAGGCCCUGCUUUUGUGGGGUGCUCGAGUGGCGAACGGGUGAGUAACACGUGAGUAACCUGCCCUUUACUUUGGGAUAACUUCAUGAAACUGGGGCUAAUACCGGAUAGGAGCUCCUGUUGCAUGGUGGGGGUUGGAAAGUUUCGGCGGUUGGGGAUGGACUCGCGGCUUAUCAGCUUGUUGGUGGGGUAGUGGCUUACCAAGGCUUUGACGGGUAGCCGGCCUGAGAGGGUGACCGGCCACAUUGGGACUGAGAUACGGCCAAGACUCCUACGGGAGGCAGCAGUGGGGAAUAGUGCACAAUGGGCGGAAGCCUGAUGCAGCAACGCCGCGUGCGGGAUGACGGCCUUCGGGUUGUAAACCGCUUUCGCCUGUGACGAAGCGUGAGUGACGGUAAUGGGUAAAGAAGCACCGGCUAACUACGUG